AACCCCCCGCGUGGCGGCAUCUCGCCCAACUCCCCCAGGGCGGAAACGCAGCAAGGGUAAGUGAGCUCUGUCGGGUGCGCGGGGGGCCUUU
Molecule: signal recognition particle RNA, 91 nt
Filed under: Nocardioides sp. GY 10127
Lineage: Bacteria; Bacillati; Actinomycetota; Actinomycetes; Propionibacteriales; Nocardioidaceae
Description: Bacterial small signal recognition particle RNA
Rfam family: Bacterial small signal recognition particle RNA
About the family: The signal recognition particle (SRP) is a universally conserved ribonucleoprotein involved in the co-translational targeting of proteins to membranes. Archaeal SRP consists of a 7S RNA and homologues of the eukaryotic SRP19 and SRP54 proteins. In most bacteria, the SRP consists of a 4.5S RNA and the Ffh protein (a homologue of the eukaryotic SRP54 protein).
Source: Rfam by way of RNAcentral